AUUCGGCUGAUAAGUCCAAAAUAGGACAAAACGCGCGUCCUAGGU
Molecule: non-coding RNA, 45 nt
Organism: Schistosoma curassoni
Lineage: Eukaryota; Metazoa; Platyhelminthes; Trematoda; Strigeidida; Schistosomatidae
Source: Rfam